UUACGGGCAAAACAUUAGAUACCCCAAUAGUCCAGAGCAGACAAUGAUGAGUGCCAUAGGCUAUAUAAAUUAGCUUAUAAAUGAAAGUGUAAGCAUUCCACCUUAAGAGUACGGCGGCAACGCUAAAAAUGAAAUCAUUAGACCGUUUCUGAAACCAGUAGUGAAGUAUGUUAGUUAAUUCGAUGACCCGCGAAUAACCUUACCACGUUUUGAAUAUUAUUUAAUUAAUACAAGCGCUGCACGGCUGUUUUUAGUUAAUGUCGUGAGAUUUUGGCUAACCCCCUUUAAUUAACGAAAACCCUUGUUUUAUUUAUAAAUAAAAUUGUUCACGGCUAGAAUGGCUAAGAUAAUAGGGAUUAAGACAAGUCAUCAUGGCCUUAAUAACGUGGGCUAUAGCGUGGGCGCCACAUAAAAAA
This 416-nucleotide ribosomal RNA is filed under the name Verrucaria sp. 21 SPS-2021. Its description in RNAcentral is "SSU rRNA". It matches the Rfam family "Bacterial small subunit ribosomal RNA", at positions 770 to 1244 of the family's 1533-position model. The record is from RNAcentral. Lineage: Eukaryota; Fungi; Ascomycota; Eurotiomycetes; Verrucariales; Verrucariaceae.